This 468-nucleotide ribosomal RNA is filed under the name uncultured bacterium. RNAcentral describes it as "partial 16S ribosomal RNA". It matches the Rfam family "Bacterial small subunit ribosomal RNA", at positions 28 to 507 of the family's 1533-position model. The record is from RNAcentral.
GACGAACGCUGGCGGCGUGCUUAACACAUGCAAGUCGAACGGAAAGGCCCUGCUUUUGUGGGGUGCUCGAGUGGCGAACGGGUGAGUAACACGUGAGUAACCUGCCCUUUACUUUGGGAUAACUUCAGGAAACUGGGGCUAAUACCGGAUAGGAGCUCCUGCUGCAUGGUGGGGGUUGGAAAGUUUCGGCGGUUGGGGAUGGACUCGCGGCUUAUCAGCUUGUUGGUGGGGUAGUGGCUUACCAAGGCUUUGACGGGUAGCCGGCCUGAGAGGGUGACCGGCCACAAUGGGACUGAGAUACGGACCAGAAUCCUACGGGAGGCAGCAGUGGGGAAUAUUGCACAAUGGGCGGAAGCCUGAUGCAGCAACGCCGCGUGCGGGAUGACGGCCUUCGGGUUGUAAACCGAUUUCGCCUGUGACGAAGCGUGAGUGACGGUAAUGGGUAAAGAAGCACCGGCUAACUACGUG